CCCUUAGAUGUUCUGGGCCGCACGCGCGCUACACUGACGAAUGCAACGAGCUUAUAACCUUGGCCGAAAGGUCUGGGUAAUCUCCAAAGUUCGUCGUGAUGGGGAUAGAUUAUUGCAAUUAUUAAUCUUCAACGAGGAAUGCCUAGUAAGCGCAAGUCAUCAGCUUGCGUUGAUUACGUCCCUGCCCUUUGUACACACCGCCCGUCGCUCCUACCGAUUGAAUGGUCCGGUGAAGCGUUCGGACCGUGGCCUUUGGACGGUUCGCCGUCUGUUGGCUGCGGGAAGUUCGUUAAACCUUAUCAUUUAGAGGAAGGAGAAGUCGUAACA
Molecule: ribosomal RNA, 327 nt
Filed under: uncultured eukaryote
Lineage: Eukaryota
Description: partial 18S ribosomal RNA
Rfam family: Eukaryotic small subunit ribosomal RNA
Source: RNAcentral